Non-coding RNA from Physocladia obscura, 72 nucleotides. NCBI's taxonomy places the organism in Eukaryota, Fungi, Chytridiomycota, Chytridiomycetes, Chytridiales, Chytriomycetaceae. The record is from the annotation of a GenBank genome assembly.
GGACUGGUCAUCUAAUGGUAGGAUACCAUCUCUUCAAGGUGGCAGAUGUCGGUUCGACCCCGAUCCAGUCUA